AUAACAUCAUUCCUUAAGUUAAUAGUCAGUUUUUGAUCUUUAAUUUGGUUUAUCGAUACUUGAGUUGGGAGAUAUAUUAACCACUGGUUGUCAUGUUGUAAACUUCCGUAUGCUAAAAAUAGUUAAAGAAUGUUCACAGUUGUGCUUGAAAAAGAAAGGCAAAAACAGUUAAUUAGAAAAAUUAGAAGAAUAUAUUUGAUUGAUUAUUUCACAAAAUGCAUAUAUAGAAACUAAAAUGAAACUAAAGUUUGUGAUAGCUGGUGAUUACAAUUAUUAAUGUAACUUGCUUGCAAGUUGGGUUCAUUUAAAAGAUGUAAGGUCUUAUCUAAUAAAUUAUAAUAAAUAAAAAAAACAAUUAAAAACACCCGAUUUAAAUGUGAUUUUAUGGUCCUGCUGAUAACAUUUAUUAUUAAAUUUUAAAACUACUAAGGAUAAUAUAGACAUAUAAAAGUAUAAAUGUAUGAUGCAUCAACUUGUGAAUAUGACGUAUUUAGCCCUUAAUCUGUUGUUCUCAAAUACUUGCUUUUUGCCUUUUUCAUUUUUUUUGAACCUUGUAGAAAGUUAAUCAAACUAGACCGCAAUAAUUUUGAUUCAUUUGAUGAUUUGACGAUGGAUUAAUUUACUUUAUUAUUAUUAUUAUUAUUACUAGAAAAAUGUGGGGUUUCCUACAAAAGUUUCCUAGGACCAAAUUUUUUUCGCUACUUCCUACACAUUACUGAGGAAAUUCCGAGGAAAACAUGCUUCUGAUAAUUAAUUUGAAGUUCCUCGGAAAUUUGGAGGAAAUACCGAUGAAUUAUCCGUCUUCGGAAGUUUCUCGGAAGUUCCUAUACUUUUCCUACGAAAUUAAUGUAUAUUUAAUGUUCCUAGGUAGUUCCUCGGUAGUUUGUUUUUUACCAUUUUAUUAUUAUAAACAAAUGAUAUCAUUUUUUUAUAUAACAAAAAGCCUCACAUUUACGUUAGAAGCAUUUCAUUUAAGUGGUUUCUAGGAAGUUUCUUAGAAAUUGUGAGGGAUUUCCUUGGGAAUUUUCAAACCAAGGUUUCUCAUCAAAAUGUCAAACUUUUACCAAUUAUCCUAGGGUCCAAGUCAAUAAUUUAAUACACAUAAAAAAAACUUAUAAAGUUAACACAAUUAGACAAUUCCUAGAUAUAAUACAAGGAGCUCUUGCUCUUGUGGUUUUUGUUUUCAAUUUUGACCAAUAUUUCCUGCGCAUUGAACUGGAAUCAUCGCCUCUAAGCAUUGUCGAACCUCAUGGAAGUUGAUGUGGUGUAUGGUCUGUAAGCUCCUAUAUUCAUUUAUCUUAUUGUCUAAGUUUGGAAAUGUUAUUUGGGGGAAAUUAAGAGUUUGAUUUAUUUCGGUUUGUCUUGUAGUUUCAAUGUAGUUGAAAUGGAGAACCUCUAACCCCAUAGAAAAUCAACUACCUGAAGCAAUUUGGUUGCCUGAUGGGCCUUAAAAAUUAAAUCAAGGAAUGAUUUGGUAGUGAAUGACUUAAGCUACCAUUUAUGUUGCAACAACCAAACAAGGGAUGGAUUGCCUUUAUGCUUGAAGUGUUAUUGGUAUAGAUGUCAGUCCAAACUUCAUCCAUCUAGUUUUCUGUAUAUAGUUUAUGCAAAUGUAAAAAUUACCUAUUUAAGGUGUGUAUUCUUAUAGCAUCCAGGAAUAAAUUUUGCAUGAAAGAUGCUCAAAAGAGUGUGUAGUGUUGGUUGUUAGUAAUGAAUUGAUCAAAAAACAUGGGAGAAAAGAAUCAUAUGAUACGAAAGGGUAAAAUAGUCAUUUUUAACAUUCAACUACUUAUAAUAUGCUCAGGUACAAGCUGAAGUUGAAACAAAUACUACAACAAAUUAAUCAAGUUGCAGCAAUGGUCUUCUUUACUUGACAAGGUAUCUUUUUGUCUUUAUUUACAUUCCACAUCCACCAAACAGGAAUGUACAAAGGAAUGAAAUCCAAUUCCAUUCCAUUUCAAUUCUUUUUUGGUUUUCAAGGGCAAUAGACUUCUUGGUGGAGCUAUUCUGUAAAUUAUACCAACAUCAAGGCUGGUCUAUGCAACAAGCUUGCAAUCUACCUAAUGAUCCUUACAUUAUUGUUGUAAACACUAGCUAGUACUUUUUAAAACCAUUAUCUUAUUUUUGUGUUUCAACAUUUAUAUUAUGUUUGUUUUUAAACCUCUGUUUUGAAGUUAUGUUGUAAUGAAGAAUAUUUCAGAUUUAUGUUUA
Long non-coding RNA from Lactuca sativa (garden lettuce), 2211 nucleotides. RefSeq lists it as uncharacterized. NCBI's taxonomy places the organism in Eukaryota, Viridiplantae, Streptophyta, Magnoliopsida, Asterales, Asteraceae. The record is from RefSeq and is a predicted model, not a curated record.